Herpailurus yagouaroundi (jaguarundi) is the source of this 1162-nucleotide long non-coding RNA. RefSeq lists it as uncharacterized. The transcript is spliced from 2 exons. Lineage: Eukaryota; Metazoa; Chordata; Mammalia; Carnivora; Felidae. The record is from RefSeq and is a predicted model, not a curated record.
GGGAGGGCGGUGGGGAAGCAAUUUGGAGCCCCUCACCCUUUGUUACUGGACGGACUUGGAUUCAGACUUGGGCUUGGAAUGCUCUCUGGUUGCCGUGGAGAUCCGCGGGGAGGGGUCGGGGGCCAAGCUGCACAAUUUAAUAUAUUCACGAGUGAGGGGAGGGAGCAGUGGAUCUUCAGGGUUCUUUUUCGGAGGGCGGGGGGGGUUCUCUUCCUUUCUGCCUCCUAGUGAUGUGCCUUUGGGAGGGGGAGGAGGUUGGCCACGCUGCUGAGGUGGGUGCGCGGUCCUCACAGCCCCUAGUGGGGCCCUGAGCCCGGUGGGGGUGGGGGGGCGCCUUGCCAGGAGCAGCCUUGAGGGAGGGGCUGGGUCCAGGCUGGGGGGACCACAGGAGAAGCUGGAGCCCCACAGGCUCCCCCAAAGGCCUCCCAUGCCCAGGGCAGCUGCUCCCAGGUGGCACCGAAGUGGCCCUCCCUCGAUGGCGUGCUUGGGAGUCAGGUCUGGGCAGGACCCUGCUGACUCAUGGCCCUGGAGCUGGGAGCCAGGCUCUCUGGGCCUCUCUGGCUUCCUUGGCUUUCCAGGGGGUGGAGGGAGGCAAGGAAGGAGCCUUCCUGGGCCAGGGAGAGGGGAGGGCUCCCAGAUCAUCACCAGAGUGUCCCUCCCUCUCCCUCUCCCUCUCCCCCCCCCCCCCCCCCCCCAGUUCUGGGUCCCUCGGAGAGCUGGUGGAGCCAGCCUUUCCCCUCCUGGGGAGCGCUUUCUAAAUAUCUGACGGUGGGGAGGCUCCAAAGAGGGACCUGGGUGGGGUGGACUCUGGCUGAGCCUCAAGAAACUAGGGAGAGGAGGGGGUGGGUCCUUGGUGGCCAGUGUCCCCAUAGCUCUCCAGCAGCUCUCCAUCCAUCACCUCCCUCCCAGCUGCACUUUAACCCAGAGGGGGAGUGGGGUCCUGGGGACAGGGCAGGCGGGCAGUGAGGAGUGCCCCUCGGGACCCCUUCCCGCCUGUGUCUGCUCCUCUGACCCCAGGGCGGCUGGUAGCUCCCCCAGCCCCCUGCCUGGGGGUGCCCCCGGCCCUCACGGCUGUUCCGACAAGAGCUUCUGGAGCUUGUAACCAGCAGAUUGUUUCCCUGACGGACCCUGAGUUUUCUCAUGAAUAAAUUCGUUCAAUGCU